AUUGAACGCUGGCGGCAUGCCUUACACAUGCAAGUCGAACGGCAGCACGGGGCAACCUGGUGGCGAGUGGCGAACGGGUGAGUAAUGCAUCGGAACGUGCCAUUGAGUGGGGGAUAACGUAGCGAAAGUUGCGCUAAUACCGCAUAUUCUGUGAGCAGGAAAGCAGGGGACCGCAAGGCCUUGCGCUCUUUGAGCGGCCGAUGUCAGAUUAGUUAGUUGGUGAGGUAACGGCUUACCAAGGCGACGAUCUGUAGCGGGUCUGAGAGGAUGAUCCGCCACACUGGAACUGAGACACGGUCCAGACUCCUACGGGAGGCAGCAGUGGGGAAUUUUGGACAAUGGGCGCAAGCCUGAUCCAGCCAUGCCGCGUGAGUGAAGAAGGCC
This 384-nucleotide ribosomal RNA is filed under the name uncultured bacterium. RNAcentral's name for it is "bacterial SSU rRNA". It matches the Rfam family "Bacterial small subunit ribosomal RNA", at positions 30 to 416 of the family's 1533-position model. The record is from RNAcentral.